GGCCCGCACAAGCGGAGGAGCAUGUGGUUUAAUUCGAUGAUACGCGAGGAACCUUACCCGGGCUCGAACGUAUGAUGAAUAAUAUGGAAACAUGUUAGUCGAUAAGACAUUAUACGAGGUGCUGCAUGGUUGUCGUCAGCUCGUGCCGUGAGGUGUCAGGUUAAGUCCUAUAACGAGCGCAACCCUUACUGUUAGUUACCAUCAGGUUAUGCUGGGGACUCUAGCGGAACUGCCUACGCAAGUAGAGAGGAAGGUGGGGAUGACGUCAAAUCAGCACGGCCCUUAUGUCCGGGGCGACACACGUGCUACAAUGGUCAAUACAGAGGGCUGCUACACAGCAAUGUGAUGCUAAUCUCAAAAAUUGAUCUCAGUUCGGAUCGGAGUCUGAAACUCGACUCCGUGAAGUUGGAUUUCGCUAGUAAUCGCACAUCAGCCAUGGUG
Molecule: ribosomal RNA, 441 nt
Filed under: uncultured Bacteroidota bacterium
Lineage: Bacteria; Pseudomonadati; Bacteroidota
Description: bacterial SSU rRNA
Rfam family: Bacterial small subunit ribosomal RNA
Source: RNAcentral